This 287-nucleotide unclassified non-coding RNA is filed under the name Mollisia sp. RNAcentral's name for it is "partial contains 5.8S ribosomal RNA, internal transcribed spacer 2, and large subunit ribosomal RNA". The stretch from base 1 to 71 matches the Rfam family "5.8S ribosomal RNA", at positions 84 to 154 of the family's 154-position model. The record is from RNAcentral. Lineage: Eukaryota; Fungi; Ascomycota; Leotiomycetes; Helotiales; Mollisiaceae.
GUGAAUCAUCGAAUCUUUGAACGCACAUUGCGCCCGGUGGUAUUCCGCCGGGCAUGCCUGUUCGAGCGUCUCUAUCAACCAUCACGCCCCGUCGUGGAACUGGGGAUUGCAGUGUGCUGCAGCCCUAAAUCUCAUAUGCGAUACCGGUUGGUUCUAUGCGUAGUACAUACCCCGCUACAGAACUUUAACUGGACCCGUCGGCAGUAAAUGGUGCAAGCCCAUUCUAAGGUUGACCUCGAAUCAAGUAGGGAUACCCGCUGAACUUAAGCAUAUCAAUAAGCGGAGGA